Ipomoea triloba (trilobed morning glory) is the source of this 443-nucleotide long non-coding RNA. RefSeq lists it as uncharacterized. The record is from RefSeq and is a predicted model, not a curated record. NCBI's taxonomy places the organism in Eukaryota, Viridiplantae, Streptophyta, Magnoliopsida, Solanales, Convolvulaceae. The transcript is spliced from 2 exons.
CUACCAUGAGCUACCUAGCCAUACUUGUUGUACACAUGGGGUGGCUCCAAUCCCUCUUCUCUCCUCUCAAGAAGCUCUGGGUUCGUCUCCACUCCCCUCCUAAGAAGAGAAGAGGGAUAUACAUUCUGUACGAGGAUGUCAAGUCGUGUCCAUACGAGGAUGUUCAUGUGCUCUGGUCUAUACUAGUGGAGUCGCAUCGGCCUGCUUUGCCAGCACCACUACCCAAAUGAGGCUUCUUAUUAUACACAAAAAACACAAGAAAAUGGGAGUAAAGCUAAGCUAGCUAGCCCUGUAAAUAUAUAUAUAUAUGUGUCUGCAUUAUAUAUUGCUUCAAGUUUUGCUCUUUUCUCCUUGGUUUGGGCUUUGGAUCUUUUAGUGAUCAAUAGGCCACUCUUAGAAAUGUUCUUAAAUUAUAAGUAACAUUAUGCCUGCUUCUUCACUUA